RNAcentral lists this ribosomal RNA (468 nucleotides) under uncultured bacterium. RNAcentral's name for it is "partial 16S ribosomal RNA". It matches the Rfam family "Bacterial small subunit ribosomal RNA", at positions 28 to 507 of the family's 1533-position model. The record is from RNAcentral.
GACGAACGCUGGCGGCGUGCUUAACACAUGCAAGUCGAACGGAAAGGCCCUGCUUUUGUGGGGUGCUCGAGAGGCGAACGGGAGAGAAACACGUGAGUAAACUGCCCUUGACUUUGGGAUAACUUCAGGGAAAUGGGGCUAAUACCGGAAAGGAGCUCCUGCUGCGUGGUGGGGGUUGGAAAGUUUCGGCGGUUGGGGAUGGACUCGCGGCUUGUCAGCUUGUUGGUGGGGUAGUGGCUUACCAAGGCUUUGACGGGUAGCCGGCCUGCGAGGGUGACCGGCCACAUUGGGUCUGAGAUACGGCCCAGACUCCUACGGUAGGCAGCAGUGGGGUAUAUUGCACAAUGGGCGGAAGCCUGAUGCAGCAACGCCGCGUGCGGGAUGACGGCCUGCGGGUUGUAUACCGCUUUCGCCUGUGACGAAGCGUGAGUGACGGUAAUGGGUAAAGAAGCACCGGCUAACUACGUG